UCUAAGGAUGAAUGAAAGUAAAAUUUCAUUCUAAAUAAUAUACAUCGGUAAUGUUGACCGUCCUCAUUUCUCUUCUUAAAGUAGUGUUUCUCUUGCAUGGGGGCCGGUAGCUCAGUUGGUUAGAGCACACCCUUGAUAAGGGUGGGGUCGAAAGUUCGAGUCUUUCUCGGCCCACCAAAUUAAGAUCAUGGGGGAUUAGCUCAGCUGGGAGAGCGCCUGAUUUGCAUUCAGGAGGUCAGCGGUUCGAUCCCGCUAUCCUCCACCAAAACACUUAGUUAUAAAAAUCGUAAAUAAAAAUAAUAAUUAAUAUCAAUAUCUAUAUCCGAACAUUAGUAAUGUUAUUAGCUAAUGUUCAAAAUAAAAAUUUGAUUCAACACAGAAUUUUUUUCUGUGCAUAAAU
Molecule: transfer RNA, 400 nt
Filed under: uncultured marine alpha proteobacterium
Lineage: Bacteria; Pseudomonadati; Pseudomonadota; Alphaproteobacteria
Description: 16S-23S intergenic spacer region
Rfam family: tRNA (bases 101-174)
Source: RNAcentral